GGCAGGCCUAACACAUGCAAGUCGAGCGAACCCUUCGGGGUUAGCGGCGGACGGGUUAGUAACGCGUGGGAAUAUACCCUUUGGUACGGAAUAGCCUCGGGAAACUGAGAGUAAUACCGUAUGUGCCCCUCGGGGGAAAGAUUUAUCGCCUUUGGAUGGCCCGCGUUGGAUUAGGUAGUUGGUGGGGUAAUGGCCUACCAAGCCGACGAGUCCAUAGCUCGGUUUGAGAGGAUGAUCAGCAACACUGGGACUGAGACACGGCCCAGACUCCUACGGGAGGCAGCAGUGGGGAAUCUUAGACAAUGGGGGAAACCCUGAUCUAGCCAUGCCGCGUGAGCGAUGAAGGCCUUAGGGUUGUAAAGCUCUUUCAGAUGGGAAGAUAAUGACGGUACCAUCAGAAGAAGCCCCGGCUAACUCCGUG
RNAcentral lists this ribosomal RNA (421 nucleotides) under uncultured bacterium. Its description in RNAcentral is "bacterial SSU rRNA". It matches the Rfam family "Bacterial small subunit ribosomal RNA", at positions 41 to 507 of the family's 1533-position model. The record is from RNAcentral.